Molecule: unclassified non-coding RNA, 277 nt
Organism: Cavia aperea (Brazilian guinea pig)
Lineage: Eukaryota; Metazoa; Chordata; Mammalia; Rodentia; Caviidae
Gene: 7SK
Rfam family: 7SK RNA
About the family: 7SK was discovered as an abundant small nuclear RNA in the mid-70s but a possible function has only recently been suggested. Two independent studies have found that 7SK RNA binds the CDK9/cyclin T complex (known as elongation factor P-TEFb).
Source: Ensembl
AGAUGUGAGGGUGCACUGGCUACAAUAUGUCACCUUGUCUACUGCCAGGGUUGAUCGGCUGGUCCAGCUGGCUGGGGUGGGCGUCCUGUCCUCCUCACUGCUCCACUGCAGUCUCCCGAGGCUGGGUCAAAGAGGACACCCACCCCGACAGAGGACGACCAUCCCUUGGUCAUGGGGAAAGAGCUGCGUUUGCUACAACCUCCAAACAAGCUUUCAAAAGCUGGGGAGAGGGAGUUUAACUCAGCAGCACAAGUGCCUGCUUGGCAAACGUGAGGUU